AGUGAACGCUGGCGGUAGGCCUAACACAUGCAAGUCGAACGGCAGCACAGGAGAGCUUGCUCUCUGGGUGGCGAGUGGCGGACGGGUGAGGAAUACAUCGGAAUCUACUCUGUCGUGGGGGAUAACGUAGGGAAACUUACGCUAAUACCGCAUACGACCUACGGGUGAAAGCAGGGGACCUUCGGGCCUUGCGCGAUUGAAUGAGCCGAUGUCGGAUUAGCUAGUUGGCGGGGGAAAGGCCCACCAAGGCGACGAUCCGUAGCUGGUCUGAGAGGAUGAGCAGCCACACUGGAACUGAGACACGGUACAGACUCCUACGGGAGGCAGCAGUGGGGAAUAUUGGACGAUGGGUGCAAGCCUGAUCCAGCCAUACCGCGUGGGUGCAGAAGGCCUUCGGGUUGUAAAGCCCUUUUGUUGGGAAAGAAAUCCAGCUGGCUAAUACCCGGUUGGGAUGACGGUACCCAAAGAAUAAGCACCGGCUAACUUCGUGCCAGCCGCCGCGGUAA
RNAcentral lists this ribosomal RNA (506 nucleotides) under uncultured bacterium. RNAcentral's name for it is "partial 16S ribosomal RNA". It matches the Rfam family "Bacterial small subunit ribosomal RNA", at positions 29 to 523 of the family's 1533-position model. The record is from RNAcentral.